ACGUGGGUAACCUGCCCAAGAGAUCGGGAUAACACCUGGAAACAGAUGCUAAUACCGGAUAACAACAGAUGAUGCCUAUCAACUGUUUAAAAGAUGGUUCUGCUAUCACUCUUGGAUGGACCUGCGGUGCAUUAGCUAGUUGGUAGGGUAACGGCCUACCAAGGCGAUGAUGCAUAGCCGAGUUGAGAGACUGAUCGGCCACAUUGGGACUGAGACACGGCCCAAACUCCUACGGGAGGCAGCAGUAGGGAAUCUUCCACAAUGGACGCAAGUCUGAUGGAGCAACGCCGCGUGAGUGAA
This 300-nucleotide ribosomal RNA is filed under the name uncultured Lactobacillus sp. RNAcentral describes it as "bacterial SSU rRNA". It matches the Rfam family "Bacterial small subunit ribosomal RNA", at positions 115 to 409 of the family's 1533-position model. Lineage: Bacteria; Bacillati; Bacillota; Bacilli; Lactobacillales; Lactobacillaceae. The record is from RNAcentral.